RNAcentral lists this transfer RNA (65 nucleotides) under Poecilia parae. RNAcentral's name for it is "tRNA-Cys". The record is from RNAcentral. Lineage: Eukaryota; Metazoa; Chordata; Actinopteri; Cyprinodontiformes; Poeciliidae.
AGCCUUGGGGUGUUAUCACGUCAGAUUGCAAAUCUGAAGAAGCAGCCUAAUUUCUGCCGAGGCUU